UUGAUAACUUAGUGGCGGACGGGUGAGUAACGCGUGGGUAACCUGCCUUGCACUGGGGGAUAACACUUAGAAAUAGGUGCUAAUACCGCAUAACAGUAGGAGACGCAUGUCUUUUACUUGAAAAUUCCGGUGGUGUAAGAUGGACCCGCGUCUGAUUAGCUUGUUGGCGGGGUAACGGCCCACCAAGGCGACGAUCAGUAGCCGGCCUGAGAGGGUGAACGGCCACAUUGGGACUGAGACACGGCCCAAACUCCUACGGAAGGCAGCAG
RNAcentral lists this ribosomal RNA (269 nucleotides) under uncultured bacterium. Its description in RNAcentral is "partial 16S ribosomal RNA". It matches the Rfam family "Bacterial small subunit ribosomal RNA", at positions 84 to 354 of the family's 1533-position model. The record is from RNAcentral.